Long non-coding RNA from Canis lupus familiaris (dog), 393 nucleotides. RefSeq lists it as uncharacterized. The record is from RefSeq and is a predicted model, not a curated record. NCBI's taxonomy places the organism in Eukaryota, Metazoa, Chordata, Mammalia, Carnivora, Canidae. The transcript has 3 exons.
GAACCCCAAACGGGCUCCCUGCUCGGCACGGAGUCUGAGGUGGGGCUCCAUCUCACGAGCCAGAGACCAUAACCUGAGCAGAAACCAAGAGGCUUAGCCUUGUGAGCCAACCGGAUACCCCCACUAUGAUCAUUUCGUAGCUGCCCUUUUGGAAGAUAAGGGACCUCAACUCUUCUAGAUAGGAUAACCAGCUCAUCCCGAUUUCCCCGGGAGCGGAGGUGGAGGUGCUUCUUGCUGCAUCUGGAAAAUCUCUCAGCCACAAACAGGCUGAGACUGUGAGUCACCCAGAUUCUAGACCAAAGCUGAACAAUGAAGAGAAAACAUGAAGACAAAGAAGCAGGGGAAAAAUAUCCUUAGUAGUCCCUUUUUAUAGAUGUAACUGAAUUAAAAAAU